UGUCUUCUUGGUACCUUGGAGGGGAGGAGAUGGCUUUCCCGUGGUGAGGUCACACAGGCAACGCUGCGGGCAGAGUCUAUGACUGUGCUAUCCUUGUUUGCUUGUCCUUGAGUCAUGGGUAUUGGCUUCGGUCACUGGGUUCUUUGUGAAACUCUCUUGAAGCUGCUCAGGUCCCUAAUGGAGCUCAAGGGCUGGUUAUUAGCCACACCUGUCGACAAUAACCUUGAGAGCAGAUCUCUCUGACCUCAGACCUCCGCCUAGGUGGGACCUUUGUUUGGGGGAAGAAGCACAAUAACCUUGAAGGAACUAGAGAUGAAACAAAGACUCUUGGUGCUGGAGAGACAGCUCAUUAGUGAGGAGCACGGGCUGCACUUCAGGAGGACCCAGGCUGGAUUCACAUGGCCCACAAGGAAUUUGUAACUCCAGUUUCAGAGCAUCUAAUACCCUCUUCUGAUCUCUGCAGGCACCAGACACACGUGCUGUGAAAUAUUAUUUUAUGAUGUAUUACAUUUG
Molecule: long non-coding RNA, 513 nt
Organism: Myodes glareolus (Bank vole)
Lineage: Eukaryota; Metazoa; Chordata; Mammalia; Rodentia; Cricetidae
Source: RefSeq, a predicted model, not a curated record